RNAcentral lists this ribosomal RNA (253 nucleotides) under uncultured bacterium. RNAcentral describes it as "partial 16S ribosomal RNA". It matches the Rfam family "Bacterial small subunit ribosomal RNA", at positions 524 to 776 of the family's 1533-position model. The record is from RNAcentral.
UACGGAGGAGGCAAGCGUUAUCCGGAAUUACUGGGCGUAAAGAGCGCGCAGGCGGUCGAUCAAGUCGAGUGUGAAAGCCCCCGGCUCAACUGGGGAGGGUCAUUCGAUACUGAUCGACUCGAAGGCAGGAGAGGGUAGUGGAAUUCCCGGUGUAGUGGUGAAAUGCGUAGAUAUCGGGAGGAACACCAGUGGCGAAGGCGACUACCUGGCCUGUUCUUGACGCUGAGGCGCGAAAGCUAGGGGAGCAAACGGG